GGGUCAGUAGGUUGGUCGUGCCACCGGUACGUACUGGUCUCACUGAUUCCUCCUUCCUGAAGAACCGUAAUGCCAUUAAUUUGGUGUUGCGGGGCGACAGGACUGUUACUUUGAAAAAUUUAGAGUGUUUAAAGCAAGCUAACGCUUGAAUACAUUAGCAUGGAAUAAUGAAAUAGGACGAUCGAUCCUAUUUUGUUGGUUUCUAGGAUUGACGUA
Molecule: ribosomal RNA, 216 nt
Filed under: Glomeromycotina sp.
Lineage: Eukaryota; Fungi; Glomeromycota
Description: partial small subunit ribosomal RNA
Rfam family: Eukaryotic small subunit ribosomal RNA (bases 40-216)
Source: RNAcentral